AUGUAAUGUAAUGCCUAAACCAUUAAUGCACUGGAUCCCAUUAGAACUCCACAGUUAAGCGUGCUUGGGCUAGAGUAUUACUAGGAUGAGUGACCUCUUUGGAAGUCCUAGUGUUUUACAUG
This is a non-coding RNA of Picea glauca (white spruce), 122 nucleotides long. NCBI's taxonomy places the organism in Eukaryota, Viridiplantae, Streptophyta, Pinopsida, Pinales, Pinaceae. The record is from Rfam.